This 506-nucleotide ribosomal RNA is filed under the name uncultured bacterium. RNAcentral's name for it is "partial 16S ribosomal RNA". It matches the Rfam family "Bacterial small subunit ribosomal RNA", at positions 29 to 523 of the family's 1533-position model. The record is from RNAcentral.
AGUGAACGCUGGCGGUAGGCCUAACACAUGCAAGUCGAACGGCAGCACAGGAGAGCUUGCUCUCUGGGUGGCGAGUGGCGGACGGGUGAGGAAUACAUCGGAAUCUACUUUUUCGUGGGGGAUAACGUAGGGAAACUUACGCUAAUACCGCAUACGACCUACGGGUGAAAGCAGGGGAUCUUCGGAACUUUCGCGAAUGAAUUAGCCGAUGUCGGAUUAGCUAGUUGGCGGGGUAAAGGCCCACCAAGGCGACGAUCCGUAGCUGGUCUGAGAGGAUGAUCAGCCACACUGGAACUGAGACACGGUCCAGACUCCUACGGGAGGCAGCAGUGGGGAAUAUUGGACAAUGGGCGCAAGCCUGAUCCAGCCAUACCGCGUGGGUGAAGAAGGCCUCCGGGUUGUAAAGCCCUUUUGUUGGGAAAGAAAUCCAGCUGGUUAAUACCCGGUUGGGAUGACGGUACCCAAAGAAUAAGCACCGGCUAACUUCGUGCCAGCCGCCGCCGUAA